UAAGACGAACCGUCCAAACGUUAUUCGGAAUUACUGGGCUUAAAGGGUGCGUAGGCGGCCCUGUAAGUUGGGUGUGAAAUCCCUCGGCUCAACCGAGGAAUUGCGCUCAAUACUGCAGGGCUAGAGGAAGAUAGAGGUGAGCGGAACUUGUGGUGGAGCGGUGAAAUGCGUUGAUAUCACAAGGAACACCUGUGGCGAAAGCGGCUCACUGGGUCUUUUCUGACGCUGAGGCACGAAAGCUGGGGGAGCGAACGGG
This 256-nucleotide ribosomal RNA is filed under the name uncultured bacterium. RNAcentral describes it as "partial 16S ribosomal RNA". It matches the Rfam family "Bacterial small subunit ribosomal RNA", at positions 521 to 776 of the family's 1533-position model. The record is from RNAcentral.